GUUCUCAUUGUCAGCACAUGUAUUAAAAUUUAAAUGAUGCAUAAAGAUUAGAAUGGCCCCUGCACAAGGAUGACACACAAAUUCAUGAAGCAAACACAUUUUUA
Molecule: small nuclear RNA, 104 nt
Organism: Phodopus roborovskii (desert hamster)
Lineage: Eukaryota; Metazoa; Chordata; Mammalia; Rodentia; Cricetidae
Source: RefSeq, a predicted model, not a curated record